UUUUUUUUUGUUCCAGGGAUUGAAGCCUUUGUUUUGUAUUUUUUUUUAAUUUUUUAUUUUGAGACUGGGUCUUGCUAAGUUGCUUAGGGCCAUGCUAAGUUGCUGAGACUGGCUUUGAACCUGUAGUUCUCCUAUCUCAGCCUCCAGAGUUGCUGGGAUCACAGGCAUGUGCCACCACAUGGGCUUACUCCUUGUUUACAACUACCAUAGUUAUCUCCCACUUCUCCUCUGUUCACUCUUUAAAAUAGUCCAAACUUCCUCUGUAACCUACCCUAUUUUCUCCUCACUUAAGAAACUUCAGUUCUACUGACAGAAUUAAAUAAUUUAUGUAAUUCCUAACCUAUUUCUGUUGCUGUGAUCAUUAAUUCUGUGGAUGAGGUGGUAGACACCUGCUGUUGAAUGUCUGAUCUGCAUUAUGGUUGCUUGUUGCUGAUACUGAUGCUGAAUGCUGAGCCCACAAUUCCUAUCCAGGUGGUAAUAGAUGUCAAAGUAGACAGGAGCCAUUUAUUUUAGUACUACAUUGGUCAUAAGCAUUAGUGCUAUUUCUGGCCGCCUUUUUUUCUAGAAAAGGGGCUGGAAAGUGAUUGGGACAUUUCACAUUCACAGAGUAGAGAUCCAGCUGCCAAGCAAUACUCUCAACUCAGCCAAGUAACAGGGAACUUCACUCCUCAUAUGACCUGCCCCCCUUGGGCCUCAACAAAACUUCAACAUAUAUAAUGGGGGGAGACAAAGACCCCUAACUACCAACCAAGCCCCAAGAAGGAACAACCAGAGGGGACCUGGACACUUAUGCAUACCUCAAAACCAUAGAGAAGUCCCUGGAACAAAAAGGAUAACUACACACAAAAGGACCCACAUAUAAAAAGGUGGGAGAGGAAUCCAUCUCAAGUGAUGCACUAGUCCAGGGCUUCUGAAAACUUGAAACAGGCAAACAAAUCUCCCUCCAAAAUUCAUGAUCUCCCAAGAAAGGAAUCCCAGAUAUGGAAGUAGAUGAUAUUCCAGAGAAAGAUUGUAAAAAUCUGAUUUUUAAACUGUUCAAUGAACUAAAAGAAGGUCUAAGGAACGAAUUAAACAGCAGUUACAGGAGAUAAAAGAUCAUUUCAAUAAGGAAAUAGAAAUAUUGAAAAAAAACCUACUACUGGAAAUGAAAGACACUAUGAAUCCAAUUAAAAAUUCACUUGGAAGGGUCACCAACAGAUUGGAUUGCAUAGAAAAUUAGACCUUGAGAACUUGAAGACGGAGUGUAUGAACUUGAAUAUUCAAUAUGCAAUAAAUGGAAAAAAAGUCAUGAUCAGAACAUAUAAGAACUCUGGGACAACAAGACAACAAACCCAAGAGCCAUUGGGAUGGAAGAGAACAUUGAGAUACAGGAUAAAGGCAUUUAGAACCUCUCAGUGAGAUGAUAGCAGAAAACUUUCCUCACAUUAGAAAAAAAGACAUCCACGCACAGGUUGCAGACAGAACUCCAAAUAGGCAAGAUUAGAAAAGAACCUCUCAAAGACACAUCAUAAUCAAAAUGCCUAACAGAAAACAAGGAAAAAUUAUUAAAAGCUAUAUGAGAAAAACAUCAGGUCACUUUUAGAAGCAAGACAAUAAAGCUCAUUCUGACUUCUCAACACAGACCCUAAAAUCAAGGAGGGCCUGGAAUUAGAUAUUUCAAGCUCUAAAAGAAAACUUUUGUCAUUAUAUAUCCUAGAGAUUAGUGCUCUGUCUGAUGUGCAUGUGGUAAAAAUUUGCUCCCAUUCUGUAGGCUCUCUACUCACCUCACUGAUUGUUUCUUUUGCUGAGAAGAAGCUUUUUAGUUUGAAUCCAUCCCAUUUAUUGAUUCUCAAUUCUAUUUCUUGGUCUAUAGGAAUCUUGUUAAGGAAGUUGGGGCCUAACCCCAUAUGAUGGAGAUUUGGGCCUAACUUUUUCUUCUAUUAGGCAUAGGGUCUCUGGUCUAAUUCCUAGGUCCUUGAUCCACUUUGAAUUAAGUUUUGUGCAUGGUGAGAGAUAGAGGUUUAAUUUUAUUUUGCCACACAUGGAUUUCCAGUUUUCCCAGCACCAUUUGUUGAAGAGGCUAUCUUCUCCAAUGUAUGUUUUUGGCAUCUUUGUCUAGUAUGAGAUAACUGUAUUUAUGUGGGUUUGUUUCUGUGUCCUCUAUUCUGUACCAUUGGUCUUUUUCCAGAUGAAUUUCUUGACUGCUUUUUCUAUCUCUAUGAAGAAUGUCAUUGGGAUUUUGAUUGGAAUUGCAUUAAAUAUGUAUAGUGCUUUUGGUAGUAUGGUCAUUUUGACAAUAAAUGGAACCACCAUUUGACCCAGCUGUCCCAUUCCUUGGUUUAUACCCAAAGGACUUAAAAACAGCAUACUACAGUGAUGCAGACAACAACAUUUAUAGCAGCACAAUUCACAAUAGCUAAAUUGUGGAACCAACCUAGAUGCCCAUCAGUAGAUGAACGGAUAAAGAAAAUGUGGUCUAUAUAUACAAUGGAAUAUUACUUGGCAUUAAAAGAGAAUAAAAUCACAGCAUUUGCAGGUAAAUGGAUGGAGUUGGAGAAUAUUAUGCUAAGUGAAGUAAGCCAAUCCCUAAAAGCCAAAUGCGGAAUGUUUUCUCUGAUAUGUGGAUGCUGAUCCAUAAUGGGGAUGGGG
RNAcentral lists this long non-coding RNA (2628 nucleotides) under Marmota monax (woodchuck). Lineage: Eukaryota; Metazoa; Chordata; Mammalia; Rodentia; Sciuridae. The record is from RNAcentral.